UGAUUCAGCUUAUUUACUUAACUGGUCAAAUUAUUCAUACUGAUUUGCUAACCUGUUUUGCUGAUUUUUUUAUUAAAUUGUUCAUGAAUCUCUGUUUAUAAAAAGCUGACCCAAAGCACCUGACACUGUUUGAUUGCUGAAAUAUUGUGGUGCUUGAUUAUUUUAAUAUACAUGCAUGUUAACUGGUACCACAGCAAAAUUAUUGCAAAUCCUUAAGUAUUAAAAAUUUAUUUGGAGGAACUAUGCCAUAGCACUAUUAGUAAGCAUUGAAUCACGUAGAGAGCACUUACAGAAAGAGCUGUAAAGAGUGAAGAGCGGAAGGUGUGGAGUGGGGGGUGUUUAACUGAAGUGUUUGGCUGCAGCACCAUAGGUUAUACUCUAUUUUCUUGUGUUUAUUUUGGAUAUUCUUUCUAUCAUGCACACAAACACAUACAUAUAAGAAUAGUUGAGAUGGGCUCUCAAAUGGGACAGGGGGACCCCUGCAGAUGGAGGUGGGCGUUACAUCCGCCCAGUGAGUCAUCAGUGCUAAAUUUAGAAAAAAUUGCUCGCUCACACAUUCUCACAUGCAAAAACACACUUAGAAUUGUUUUUAUCAUCAUUGUCUUUAUCAUUAUCACCAUCACAGGCUUCUACCACUACAUCAACUUUCCCACAUGGUCAAACACAUGGGAAGAAGAUGAGGUCAAAACUUGUAACCUUUCUGAUACAUCUAUCUUACAACAUCAAAGCAUGCCCUCCUCACCAUGAGCCCCUGUUCCCAUAGAAACAGAACAGCUGGACUGUCAGACCAGGUGUGUUUGACUGACGGGGUCUCACUAAGCUGUCCCAGGAGUGGAACUGGCGGCGGAACCCUGCAGUCUUUUGAUCGGUGAAUGGAGCGGUCAGCAAGGGGCAGUGGAGAAACUCACCGCAGAAGAGGAGAGGAAAUUAAAUCAGCGGGAUACACAGGUUUGGGGCAGAUCCAAUGAGUGCCAAGUGCAAACUAAUUUAAUUGUGUGUGGGCUGCUGUCCCUUGAUGCCCGGCCCAGACCAACCACCCCAUGACCUUCACGACCCUACAGCCUGCCAUAGGGAGACAGCAGUCUGCUGCAAGAGGUGGCCGGGAACACACUUGGUAAGUGGUCUGCACCUAAUUUGUCAGAGUGUGUUUGCAUAUGUGUAUACGUAUAAUUAUAAAUGUGUUUCAUGUGCUCUUAUGUCUGACAAAGACAUUCACUGAAGUCACACAGUCUUAGCAUUUGAGAACAGAAAGUGAGGAAGAUCAGGACAGAAAAAUGUAGCAUCUCAUAGAGGGAUCAGAUGGAAUAGGGGACUGAAUAGAGAUAGAGGGGAAAAGAGAUAGAUCAGAGUGUGAUGGAGAGGUAGGAAGUUCCCCAGGUUUGUCUGUGACACCGCAUGCUGUUGUGUAAGCCAAACAAACAACAGGUGUCAGGCUUCUGUAAAAACCCUCUUGCUCCUGACUGUGAGGAAAUUGGAGUCGGCAGACCUGUGAAGUUCAAAGCAGGAGAAAAAAACAUUAAACAAUAGAAGCAUCACUCUCAGUAUGGAUGGGAAAUCAAAUGCCAUGCUAACACACAACGCACAGAUAUACACCCAUGGGAGCAGACAAACACACAUGCAGAUACCAUAUUACAUAAAACGACUUUAGACUGAGAAUUUACACUUUCUGUAAAUA
Molecule: long non-coding RNA, 1675 nt
Organism: Cyprinus carpio (common carp)
Lineage: Eukaryota; Metazoa; Chordata; Actinopteri; Cypriniformes; Cyprinidae
Exons: 3
Source: RefSeq, a predicted model, not a curated record